RNAcentral lists this ribosomal RNA (287 nucleotides) under uncultured Pseudomonas sp. Its description in RNAcentral is "partial 16S ribosomal RNA". It matches the Rfam family "Bacterial small subunit ribosomal RNA", at positions 1097 to 1382 of the family's 1533-position model. The record is from RNAcentral. Lineage: Bacteria; Pseudomonadati; Pseudomonadota; Gammaproteobacteria; Pseudomonadales; Pseudomonadaceae.
CGCAACCCUUGUCCUUAGUUACCAGCACGUUAUGGUGGGCGACUCUAAGGAGACUGCCGGUGACAAACCGGAGGAAGGUGGGGAUGACGUCAAGUCAUCAUGGCCCUUACGGCCUGGGCUACACACGUGCUACAAUGGUCGGUACAAAGGGUUGCCAAGCCGCGAGGUGGAGCUAAUCCCAUAAAACCGAUCGUAGUCCGGAUCGCAGUCUGCAACUCGACUGCGUGAAGUCGGAAUCGCUAGUAAUCGUGAAUCAGAAUGUCACGGUGAAUACGUUCCCGGGCCUU